Molecule: ribosomal RNA, 381 nt
Filed under: uncultured eukaryote
Lineage: Eukaryota
Description: SSU rRNA
Rfam family: Eukaryotic small subunit ribosomal RNA
Source: RNAcentral
AGCUCCAAUAGCGUAUAUUAAAGUUGUUGCAGUUAAAAAGCUCGUAGUUGAAUUUUGGCCUUGGCUGGGCGGUCUUUGCAAACGCAUAGCACUUCUCUGGCUGAGGCUUUCCUUCUGGCGAAUUAGCGUGUUAUUUAUUUAAUGCGUUAGGGAACCAGGACUUUUACUUUGAAAAAAUUAGAGUGUUUAAAGCAGGCUUACGCUUGAAUACAUUAGCAUGGAAUAAUAAAAUAGGACUUUGGUUUUAUUUUGUUGGUUUUCGAAACCAAAGUAAUGAUUAAUAGGGAUAGUUGGGGGCAUUAGUAUUGAGCCGUCAGAGGUGAAAUUCUUGGAUUGGCUCAAGACUAACUUCUGCGAAAGCAUUUGCCAAGGAUGUUUUCA